AAAACCCAGAAGAAACU
Molecule: small RNA, 17 nt
Filed under: Arabidopsis thaliana (thale cress)
Lineage: Eukaryota; Viridiplantae; Streptophyta; Magnoliopsida; Brassicales; Brassicaceae
Description: ATSL014140
Source: RNAcentral